ACUUGAAUUGAAUGUGCAAAUGCUUUCAUACGAAAGAAAGACGAGAAGACCCCGUGAAGUUAGAAAUUCCUAUUACAGCGUAAACCCACAUUGACUGUGUCAGCGUUAAAGAGCAGAUAGGGCUUUGGAUCUUUUUUUGAAGGUCCCGUCUUUAUGGCUUUUGAGCAGCGGAAUGUAGUUUUGACGAGUUUUGGCUGGGGCAGCAAAGAGGCAAAACUAGACCUUUUUAAUCACUAAACGGAUACGUUACGACCCACAAAACAUGAAAAUCGUGAUUAACAGAAGGAGUUACUCCGGGGAUAACAGCGUAAUCUUCCUUGAUAGUUCUUAUAGAUGGGCGGGUUUGCGACCUCGAUGUUGGCUCUGGGUAUCCUGAGGCAUGCAGGCGGUCUCAAGGGUUGGUUCGUUCGCCCAUUAAAACCCGACGUGAUCU
RNAcentral lists this ribosomal RNA (433 nucleotides) under Mizuhopecten yessoensis (Yesso scallop). Its description in RNAcentral is "partial 16S ribosomal RNA". It matches the Rfam family "Bacterial large subunit ribosomal RNA", at positions 2040 to 2606 of the family's 2925-position model. Lineage: Eukaryota; Metazoa; Mollusca; Bivalvia; Pectinida; Pectinidae. The record is from RNAcentral.